CAGCAGCCGCGGGAAUACGUAGGUGGCAAGCGUCGUCCGGAAUUAUUGGGCGUAAAGGGCUCGCAGGCGGUUUCUUAAGUCUGAUGUGAAAGCCCCCGGCUCAACCGGGGAGGGUCAUUGGAAACUGGGAAACUUGAGUGCAAAAGAGGAGAGUGGAAUUCCACGUGUAGCGGUGAAAUGCGUAGAGAUGUGGAGGAACACCAGUGGCGAAGGCGACUCUCUGGUCUGUAACUGACGCUGAGGAGCGAAAGCGUGGGGAGCGAACAGGAUUAGAUACCCGUGUAGUCCCUGUCUCUUAUAC
This 301-nucleotide ribosomal RNA is filed under the name uncultured bacterium. RNAcentral describes it as "partial 16S ribosomal RNA". It matches the Rfam family "Bacterial small subunit ribosomal RNA", at positions 509 to 807 of the family's 1533-position model. The record is from RNAcentral.